Molecule: transfer RNA, 91 nt
Filed under: Corynebacterium afermentans
Lineage: Bacteria; Bacillati; Actinomycetota; Actinomycetes; Mycobacteriales; Corynebacteriaceae
Also listed under: 31 other names
Description: tRNA-Ser
Rfam family: tRNA
About the family: Transfer RNA (tRNA) molecules are approximately 80 nucleotides in length. Their secondary structure includes four short double-helical elements and three loops (D, anti-codon, and T loops).
Source: RNAcentral
GGAGAUGUGCCAGAGUGGCCGAAUGGGGCUCCCUGCUAAGGAGUUGCCCCCUUGACGGGGGCCGCAGGUUCAAAUCCUGUCAUCUCCGCCA